AUCUGAAUGAAUAUAGGUGCUUGAAUGAAUGAAUCUCUACUACUUUGGGCCUACCAGCUUUGAAUCACAUACUCAUUCACCCUUCUCUUACACACAGUAGAGAUCAGGAGUCCAAAUGUGCUUUCUCUUAACCAUUUACGCCAGGUCUCUCAAGUGCCAGUAAGUCUUUCUGGGGACACAGUGACCUUCACAGAGGGUUCCAACAGCAGGCACAGCACAGCUCUACACAAGGAGAAGGAAGUCGCACUCCUCGGAUCUGUGCAGGUACAGGGAGUGGAAGAAGCACUGUGGGACUCUCACUGCAAGAAGACAGACCAUUACCAUCCUAUUCUGCCCCUCUCUCCCCCGACUCCAUGUCCCUUGCUGAGUCCAGGGUCCACCUUCCAAGCUGGCUGGUAGAGCAAUCAGUUUUCCUCGGGACAGGGGCACAUCACCAAACAGGCCUCUGUCCAGGGCUUUCCUGUCACCAAAGCCACACGAAUGCAAAUCUAUUUUUCAUUAGGAGAAAAUAAAACUCACAAGUGACAUCAACUGAAAAAUGUUCUUUGGGAGAAAGUUAUUUCCAUUUAAAGCUAAGCACAUGACAGCUGGUGACUUUUAAUGGAAAGUAAAAUCUGCUGGACUGAAUUACUAUCAAACCACUUGAGAAUUUGUGUUUUUAAUUUUCCUUUUGGAGAAAGCCAGUGCUUUGGACUCCAGCCGAACAGAUGAGGAAUGGAAAGGUCUUGUCUUGUCUCUAACUGUGGCCUGAAAAGACCCUGGACAGUCCUCAGUAAAAUCAUAGUCCAGUAUCCAGGUGCAUUCAUCUCCAUUACCCUCUCCUUGACGUUCAUGUAAUAAGCUGGGUAGAACUUCUCUGUCUUAUUUGUUUGGAGGCCAUCCCCAAACAGUUGUAUGUAUUAAAACUUAAUAGAGAAUAGCAGGUGUGAAAGAACUCAGUAUUUGCUAUGGACUAAAGCCCCCCCCAUUCAAAUGCUGAAGCCUCCCAAAGGUGAGGCCUCGGGAAGUGUCUGGGUUUAGACGAACAGAACAGAAUCUGCUGGUGUCUCGACUGUGAGAAAUGCAUAUUUGUUGUCUAAGCCGCCCAGUCUGUGGCAUUUUGUUAUAGCAGCCUGCACUGAUUGAGACAGUACUCCAGUAGGCCACAAGGUCCUCUCCCACUAUAAGGUCCAAGGCAUGAGAGUUCCAUGCAUUUGAGACACCCUUAAGGACCAGCGUGGGGCUACCUUUUCUAUCUAGGCUAGUAUGAUUCAGUUCCUCUUUCCUUCCAGAGUUUUCUAGCACUCCUAGGAUCUGUAGCAUAUUUGUGGUUUGUGUAGGCAAUAGAGAGCACCUCCGGAGUUUGGGGAUAGGGCAGAAGGGUGUCCAGCUUUGAAGGGAGAGGCUAUAAGAACCCUCACAGUGCCAUGAGAAUAACCAGCUGCAGAUGCAACCUAUGUUUGGGGAGGCAUUGCACACACAGUGCUGGGAAUUUCAUCGUUUACUCUAUCAGGAUUAGGUGACCCGAAGUAUACUGUAGGCUUAAAUUACAAAGUGGUGACAAUGUAAAUUGCAUGAGCUGUGUUAUUGGAUGAGAGUUAAAGUGGUAGGCAUGGAAGAUCCUGUGUAGAGGUUAGAAAAAGAGAGGUGAAGAGUGAGAAUCUGGCUGGUGUUUAUGCAGGGCUCUCAAGGGAACUGUGGGCUGCAGACCCCAUUACCAGGCAAGACACACACCCUUCAAUACUCGUUCUCUAAUUCCUGCUCACCAAGUAAUUUUCUAAUGCUAAUUCAGUUUCUCUAGUAGACAGCACAAAAGGGUACCUUGGAUACUAACUAGAAAAUGUGUCCUUCAUUGUACAUUAGUUCAACUGGCACUUUGGUUUUCCUAACAGUCUACUGUGAAUCUGAUUGGCAAGAGACCAUUCCUUGGGGCCUAGUCAACCUUGUAUGGACUGACUACUGCAUAGGGUUUCUGAAGUUUGAAAGUUAAAAGACAGAGCUGAGCCAGGUACAGUGGUGCAGGCCGGUCACCCCAGCUACUUGGGAGGCUGAGGCAGGAGGAUCACAAGUUUGAGGGCAGCUGGGAAAAAUGAGACUCUGUCUCAGAAUGAAAAAGGGUUGGAGAUGUGGCUCCAUGGGAGAACACUUACCUAGCAUGAGUCCCCAGGGCCAUGAAGAGAAUAAAUAAAUUACUAAAUAAAGCCAGACAUGACUCCAGGCCUGUACCAAGUCUCAGAUGCCCUUUGGGGUUCAGCUUGGGUUGGUAGUGGGCCAACCAGGGAUACAAUACAAGUGGUGAGAAGUACAAGUAUAAUUUAUUUAUCUUCUUUGGAAUUCAACUAUAAAAAGUUAAAACAGAAGUUAAAAUAUACUGUUGUUUGACCUUUGAUUUCUGUCCCAUCCCAUCUUACAUUUUUAGAGACAAGUGAGAAAUUCCAUUUGCUA
Fukomys damarensis (Damara mole-rat) is the source of this 2424-nucleotide long non-coding RNA. The record is from Ensembl. Lineage: Eukaryota; Metazoa; Chordata; Mammalia; Rodentia; Bathyergidae.